This 494-nucleotide ribosomal RNA is filed under the name uncultured bacterium. RNAcentral's name for it is "partial 16S ribosomal RNA". It matches the Rfam family "Bacterial small subunit ribosomal RNA", at positions 28 to 507 of the family's 1533-position model. The record is from RNAcentral.
GACGAACGCUGGCGGCGUGCUUAACACAUGCAAGUCGAACGGUGAAGCGCCUUCCUUUUUGGUGGGUGUGGAUGAGUGGCGAACGGGUGAGUAACACGUGAGUAACCUGCCCCCUUCUUCUGGAUAACCGCAUGAAAGUGUGGCUAAUACGGGAUAUUCUGGGUCUGUCGCAUGAUGGGUCUGGGAAAGAUAUUGUUUCGGUGGGGGAUGGGCUCGCGGCCUAUCAGCUUGUUGGUGGGGUGAUGGCCUACCAAGGCGGUGACGGGUAGCCGGCCUGAGAGGGUGGACGGUCACACUGGGACGGAGACACGGCCCAGACUCCUACGGGAGGCAGCAGUGGGGAAUAUUGCACAAUGGGCGCAAGCCUGAUGCAGCGACGCCGCGUGAGGGAUGGAGGCCUGCGGGUUGUGAACCUCUUUCGCCAGUGAAGCAGGCCUGCCUCGUUUGUGGGUGGGUUGACGGUAGCUGGAUAAGAAGCGCCGGCUAACUACGUG